CUUUUCAUUCCCGUUGUUAUGGAGGUAGGCUCUCUAGGAAUCUGGGAGUAGUAGCUGGGGGGCAAGAGCAAAUAAAGAGCUCGGGCUUCUGUGGUCUCUGGGGAGAUGUUCCCGGGAAGCCUGGCUAGAGGGCGGAGGGCAGCUGUUGAGAUGGCGUGGCUUUCGCGGCGGGCGCUGCGGCCCGGUGUUGGACAGCCUGGCAGGGCAGCGCGGGGCCGAAUCCGGCUGCCGUGGCUGAGGCUCAUGGAUCACUCUUUUGUGGUAGGGCCACAUCUGCCAGAGCCUGGAGUCUGCGAAGGCCGGGACCCGGUUCCCCGGCCCACCGUGGGGGGGGGUGUGCAAACCCGAGAGAACUGGGUUGCAAAUUCGUGAAGAAUCAGCAUCAUGUUUGGCAGCUGAGUAUUGGAGCCAGGAGCCUGCCAUGAGGUUUUGAGAACAGAGUGCUGUUUUAGAGCUGGCAGCAGCAUCUCAGCCCAAGAGAAGGUAAGCCUUGAGCUGGCCAAUGAUCCCCCCAACCCCAUAGUGGAAUGAAUAAACAGCUGA
RNAcentral lists this non-coding RNA (543 nucleotides) under Pan troglodytes (chimpanzee). Lineage: Eukaryota; Metazoa; Chordata; Mammalia; Primates; Hominidae. The record is from RNAcentral.